This is a long non-coding RNA of Priapulus caudatus, 379 nucleotides long. RefSeq lists it as uncharacterized. The record is from RefSeq and is a predicted model, not a curated record. The transcript is spliced from 2 exons. NCBI's taxonomy places the organism in Eukaryota, Metazoa, Priapulida, Priapulimorpha, Priapulimorphida, Priapulidae.
CUCAACCGCUCUGACGUCACGCCGCCGACGGUGGCCGAGUGAGGACACAACGUCACGCACGGACAAGAUGACGACGGGAUGCAGGACGGCGAGCACCUCUGGGACAAGCGCACGCAGUGACUCAUCCUGUCCUCGUUCUUCUGGGGCUACCUCUGCACACAGAUCCCGGGCGGCCUGCUCGCGAAGAAGUACGGGCCGCGAUGGACGUACGCGGGGUUUCAGUUCACUGCCUCCGUGUUGACGAUGCUGUGUCCGUGGGCGACGAGGGUCGGCUGGCGGGGACUGCUCGCCAUGAGAUUUCUCUCAUGUUCAAAUUCAAAUUCAAAUUGAUAAUAAUUCAGAUGAUUCAGAUAGUUAUUCAGAAAUUCAUUGAAUUUCA